RNAcentral lists this ribosomal RNA (253 nucleotides) under uncultured bacterium. RNAcentral's name for it is "partial 16S ribosomal RNA". It matches the Rfam family "Bacterial small subunit ribosomal RNA", at positions 524 to 776 of the family's 1533-position model. The record is from RNAcentral.
UACAGAGGGUGCGAGCGUUAAUCGGAAUUACUGGGCGUAAAGCGUGCGUAGACGGUUAUUUAAGUCGGAUGUGAAAGCCCCGGGCUCAACCUGGGAAUUGCAUUCGAGACUGAAUAGCUAGGGUGCGGUAGAGGGAAGCGGAAUUUCCGGUGUAGCGGUGAAAUGCGUAGAUAUCGGGAGGAACACCUGUGGCGAAGGCGGCUUUCUGGGCCUUACCUGACGCUGAGACGCGAAAGCGUGGGGAGCGAACCGG